Molecule: transfer RNA, 19 nt
Filed under: Touwia elliptica
Lineage: Eukaryota; Viridiplantae; Streptophyta; Bryopsida; Hypnales; Neckeraceae
Description: partial tRNA-Ser
Source: RNAcentral
GGAAAGAGAGGGAUUCGAA